This is a long non-coding RNA of Astatotilapia calliptera (eastern happy), 1683 nucleotides long. NCBI's taxonomy places the organism in Eukaryota, Metazoa, Chordata, Actinopteri, Cichliformes, Cichlidae. The record is from Ensembl.
GUGGGUCUUACACUAAACUCUCCUAUACACAUCUGUUCAGGAUCCAUUGAGUCUCUCUCUGAUGAAGCCUGGUUUUAAAUUUACACCUCAGUGAUGCCACUGUGCAAAAAUUGUUGCCAGCACUCAGUUUUCCAACGAUUUGGAUAAGUUCUAAGAUUUUACAGAUGAAUCCAUGCAGAGCUGAGAUAGCAUCUGAACAAACAAACAAGAAAACAUCCCCCUUAAACAUGUCAGGACUGAUCUGUAAGUUCAAGCUCCUCACACCGUGUCAGCGUGGACUCACUGCGGGGGUAUAAAACUCAGAUCCUCGUCUUCUGCAGAAGAAUCUGAACACGUCAGACGGAACAGACGAACCUUCGCCACCAUGUCCAGGAUCACAGGGAUGACGCUGCUGCUCAUCAUUCUGGUCAGCAGCCUGUGUGAUAGCACAGGUACAUACGAGGAUCAUUAGUUUUGAACUUUAUAUGCAUGGAUGGUUAUGUUGCUGUUUUACUCACCAACGGGACGAUAACUAACUGACUCAUUUUAAAUGUAAACUAUUGUGCACCACUGCCCGUGAGUUUGAGAGGAAAUGUUACACGGGGUUGAUGGAUAAUGUUUUACGUUCGUAUAAAUGAUUUCUCACUUGUUUGCUUUUCUUUUUCACUGAGGGCAGAGUCUGCUGCUCAGUCUGGUGUGACCAAACAGGAUAUUCUCAGAUGCAGAUGCACAAGUAAGUUACCAGCAGUUUUGGCCUGUAUGGCCUGUAUUUGUAUAGCGCUUUUACAAAACCCAUUACAGUUUUGUUUGGUAAUGUCAUUGUUGCAGUUGUAACUGCAACAAAACACACAAACACCAACAUUGCAGUCCUCAGGGCUGCUAUGAUGCUACAUUGAAGUGUGUCCUAUCUUGAAAAGAUCGACUGCAAAUCUGUGCCAUUGUAAACGUUACCAUGAUGCCACAUAAAGUUGGUUAACUGGCAAUGACUGGAGUGAAAUGGUUUCAGUGACCACCUCUAUUCUCUCUUGCAGAGUCUUUCAGGGGCAAACUUAGGUGUCCCCAACCACUCCUACCCAUAGACAGCAAAGAGAAACAGGCUCUGAACAAAUGCCUCUGCAGCUCAGGAAAACAAGGCAAGCGUCCAGACCUUCUGCGAUUCUGCCACAGAAGUGUGUUUGGGGGAGCUGCUACACCCCUCUGACAUAAAUCAGUGGAAUUAUAAACGAACUUGAUAUAAAAUUACAUUUUGUAUGAUAUUAAUCUUUUUAUAUGUUUGUGAAUUUUCUACUGCUGUAAAUAAAAAAACAGAUCUUCAUCAGAGUUUUGUGUUCAUAUUGUUGUAUGUAUUAUUAUAUUAUUUUUUUGGUUCCAUCAUAUAUUUACAAAAAAUGAGAUCAGUUUCAGUUCUUCCAUUCAAAAUUACAUUAAAGUUAAAGGAAAAGGGAAGGAUUUUCCCUGAUGUCAUUAAAGCACGUAUAGCUUUGAAGCCAUGUGAUGGUUAUGAAACUGUGGUUAUGUCUCAAUGAAACAAUCGCCACUGUUACAUAGAAUUAUGCCUUUUUGUCUCCACACUGCAUUCUUUUUCAUUUUUCUAAUUAUUCAGUUCAGUUAUUUUAUUUCUAUAGUGCCACAAAGUUGUCUCAAGGAGCUUUAUACUUUUUUAUAACAGGAUAUAGAAUUAUUCCAGCCUGUCCCCCUUUUCAG